CAUGAACUUGACACCAUUUUGCUGCAUUACAUGGGACACCAGGAUGAUUGCACGAAUCUGGCAGGGAACACUGAAGUCAUACUCUGCUAGUUAAAAUAAAAAUAAUGUGUCCAAUAUCAUAGGAGAAUUUGGGUAUCAUGCUAGAUGGGAACUAGCCAUCUGGAAGUGAGAUCAUGUCACUAACAGUGCUGAUCACAAUGGCUAACAGGCAUUACAAGUCUAAAGGGAUGCAAUACAAAAAGUAAGCCUAUAUAUAGCACAUUAGAUGAAAACUAGUAUGUGCAUAGGAGGUUUGCCUGUAAAGAGCCCCAUAUUUGUUAAGUAUAUUUAACUAUUGGCACUUACCUGCUACCAUAUCUGUAGUUCACUCAGAGCCCCGCCC
RNAcentral lists this long non-coding RNA (382 nucleotides) under Pan troglodytes (chimpanzee). RNAcentral describes it as "long non-coding RNA NONPTRT007768". The record is from RNAcentral. Lineage: Eukaryota; Metazoa; Chordata; Mammalia; Primates; Hominidae.